UCGCCUACGGGGCGCAGCAGUAGGGAAUCUUCGGCGAUGGGGGCAACCCUGACCGAGCAACGCCGCGUGAGUGAAGAAGAUUUUCGGAUCGUAAAGCUCUGUUGUAAGAGAAGAACGUGUGUGAGAGUGGAAAGUUCACACAGUGACGGUAACUUACCAGAAAGGGACGGCUAACUACGUGCCAGCAGCCGCGGUAAUACGUAGGUCCCGAGCGUUAUCCGGAUUUAUUGGGCGUAAAGCGAGCGCAGGCGGUUGGAUAAGUCUGAAGUUAAAGGCUGGUGCUCAACC
This 288-nucleotide ribosomal RNA is filed under the name uncultured bacterium. RNAcentral's name for it is "partial 16S ribosomal RNA". It matches the Rfam family "Bacterial small subunit ribosomal RNA", at positions 335 to 614 of the family's 1533-position model. The record is from RNAcentral.